GUAAAUUUAAUGGGUCUGGCUUCCAGUCUCAUCCGCUUCCAGCGAUUUUUAACUGUACAAAAGCUUGGUAUUGCAAACUAUUUUUGGUUUAUUUUUCUCAUGAUUUCCCUACCGUGCCUAAGGAAGUGGAAGUCUUGUACAUACAGUCUAUGAAAAAAGCUUACUUUCACGUUGAAAAAGGUGAAUAAAUUUGGUGCUGUUGCCACAGUGGCGAAUUUCUACCGUUCCAUUCUCGCUGUAGCAUAAUAUCCGCUUGCGCAUGGAGCCCCUGAGUCACGUAAUGGCAUAACAAAACACUAAAGCAGGGGAGGAGCAGUAAGGUUUGCAUACGAGGCGUGAAAAGAGCGGUAUAUAAACACACAGAUAUGUCUAUUCUUUGUUGAAUGUAUUAAGCAAUAUGUUAAGUGUAGAGGAGAGGAAAUUAACCUAAAGUAUCGAUCUAAUCAGGCUAGUAUCGAUCCGAUACCAAUACCAACGUUGGUAUCGAUACUAUCGAUAUUAAGAUCGAUCCGCCCACCCCUAUUUUGAACCGUGACGUCAAGCCGUUCUCAACCGCCAACCGCGAACCAGACAGUUUGUAAAAUGUUGCGUUUCUGAUUAUUUCAUUUUUUCGAAGAAAACGCAGUCGAAACAGGUCUAUCGAGUUACACUGAAGACACGCAGAUUCACGACGAAACAUUAAUUAAGGAAGAAUGGUAUUUCUCCGAGGAACUAAUCGUCAGCUGGCCCGCCGCGAGAAACCAGACGUCUCAGUUCAUCCGUUUUUGCUGAGUCAGGCCUGGAUGAAAACCUGCUUAAAGAGAGAGCCAGAUUAACUGGGAAGAUAAAGCCCGGUGCUGAUGUACCCAGUAAGCUAAAUGAAGAAUUGUAAAACCGAAAAAGCUCAGACGACGCUGAAAAGACUGUCAGCUCAGCCUCAAAAUGCAAAGAAGAAUAGAAGGGCUACAGGAAGAAAACAGCGGCUCAGAGAGGAACUUGAAAACUGUAAGGGACAAAUUAGUGGACUGAGAUCUCGAGUCACAUCUUUCAGAGAUUCCUGGAUUCUCAACGAGCUGAGAAGGCUAUGGACAGAGGCACGACCUCAAACUGAAAGUGAGAAAAAGUGAGCUGUGCUUUCCCUAUUCUCAGCCUCAGAAGUCACGCCCACGGACCGUUGGCUAAACAUCUGAUACAUAUGGCACACAAAAGUGGAAAAACUUCAAGAGUUUCAAUGUCGUCAUCGGACUGAUUGAAUUAUACAGGAUUUCCGGGAGACGUGCGUGUUGCGUUCUUUAACGUUCCACCUGGAAACAAAGAUGCUGUGACGCCGAACUCCUCACGAAAGAAGAAAGCUGUCAUGUUUACAACUGUAAUGACAAGCGCUUAUCAGGAUCAACUAACCGCUGGAUUUUUAAAAGUAUGUGAAAUAUUUAAAGUUCAUGGCAUAGAAUCUGUAAAAUACGUCCGAGAGUUUUACGCACCGGUCUGUUAUUGUGGUGACAUUUCUACGCCCCGAAACGUGACGCUGAACGAAAUGAACUGUGAUUGGUUGUUUGACAUGUCGGUCAAACGGCCUCAUGGGCGGGCCUUGGCCAAUGAAAGCUGCCAUGGAUUCCAGACCUUAAGCCGUCAGUCUGAAGCUCUGGCUACGUGAGACAAUGCUUUCCCUAAUGUGGACACAGGAUCCCUAAAAGAGGGUGUUCACAACAAAUGAUCAAAUGAGCGAAAGCUUAAUUGUGAGAUGUUAAUGUUUGAAUACUGUGAAUUUGCAUUUUCAUGCUUUGUGUAAUUGUGCCUUAUAUUGUUUUAUUGUGUCAUAUACCCUACUUUGUAGUGUACACAGAUUAUGUUGUUACACAUGGUGAAUAAAUGUUGAAAUGUAA
Long non-coding RNA from Onychostoma macrolepis, 1862 nucleotides. RefSeq lists it as uncharacterized. The transcript is spliced from 5 exons. Lineage: Eukaryota; Metazoa; Chordata; Actinopteri; Cypriniformes; Cyprinidae. The record is from RefSeq and is a predicted model, not a curated record.